This 497-nucleotide ribosomal RNA is filed under the name uncultured bacterium. RNAcentral's name for it is "partial 16S ribosomal RNA". It matches the Rfam family "Bacterial small subunit ribosomal RNA", at positions 28 to 507 of the family's 1533-position model. The record is from RNAcentral.
GAUGAACGCUGGCGGCGUGCCUAAUACAUGCAAGUCGAGCGAACGGACGAGAAGCUUGCUUCUCUGAUGUUAGCGGCGGACGGGUGAGUAACACGUGGAUAACCUACCUAUAAGACUGGGAUAACUUCGGGAAACCGGAGCUAAUACCGGAUAAUAUUUUGAACCGCAUGGUUCAAAAGUGAAAGACGGUCUUGCUGUCACUUAUAGAUGGAUCCGCGCUGCAUUAGCUAGUUGGUAAGGUAACGGCUUACCAAGGCAACGAUGCAUAGCCGACCUGAGAGGGUGAUCGGCCACACUGGCACUGAGACACGGUCCAGACUCCUACGGGAGGCAGCAGUAGGGAAUCUUCCGCAAUGGGCGAAAGCCUGACGGAGCAACGCCGCGUGAGUGAUGAAGGUCUUCGGCUCGUAAAACUCUGUUAUUAGGGAAGAACAUAUGUGUAAGUAACUGUGCACAUCUUGACGGUACCUAACCAGAAAGCCACGGCUAACUACGUG